RNAcentral lists this ribosomal RNA (545 nucleotides) under Clastotoechus nodosus. RNAcentral's name for it is "partial 16S ribosomal RNA". It matches the Rfam family "Bacterial large subunit ribosomal RNA", at positions 1831 to 2625 of the family's 2925-position model. Lineage: Eukaryota; Metazoa; Arthropoda; Malacostraca; Decapoda; Porcellanidae. The record is from RNAcentral.
GUCUGUAUGAAGUUAAAUAGAGUCUAUUCUGCCCAUUGAGUAAAAUCUUAAAAGGCCGCGGUAUACUAACUGUGCAAAGGUAGCAUAAUCAGUAGUUUCUUAAUUGGAGGCUUGUAUGAACGAUUGGAUGAGAGUUAAACUGUCUUUUUUUAAAAAAUUGAAUUUUAUUUUUAAGUGAAAAAGCUUAAAUGAAUCAGAGGGACGAUAAGACCCUAUAAAUCUUUAUGAAUUUUUUUUUCAUUAAGUUAUAAAUAAUUUUGUUAAACUCUUAUGAAAAAAAGUUCAUUGUGCUGGGGCGGUAGAAAUAUAAAAAAACUAUUUUAAAAAAAUUACAAAUAUUUUUGGAAAAGUAAAAGAUCCUAAUUAUAGAUUUAAAGAACAAGUUACUUUAGGGAUAACAGCACAAUUUCUUUUGAGAGUUCAAAUCGAAAAAGAAGUUUGUGACCUCGAUGUUGAAUUAAAAAUUCCUUAUGGUGCAGAAGUUAUAAAGGAAAGUCUGUUCGACUUUUAAAUUUUUACAUGAUUUGAGUUCAGACCGGCGUGAG